This 253-nucleotide ribosomal RNA is filed under the name uncultured bacterium. Its description in RNAcentral is "partial 16S ribosomal RNA". It matches the Rfam family "Bacterial small subunit ribosomal RNA", at positions 524 to 776 of the family's 1533-position model. The record is from RNAcentral.
UACGUAGGUGGCGAGCGUUGUUCGGAUUUAUUGGGCGUAAAGGGUCCGCAGGGGGUUGAUUAAGUCUGAUGUGAAAUCUCACGGCUCAACUGUGAAACUGCAUUGGAGACUGGUCAACUAGAGCAUCGGAGAGGAGAGCGGAAUUCCUGGUGUAGCGGUGGAAUGCGUAGAUAUCAGGAAGAACACCAAAAGCGAAGGCAGCUCUCUGGACGAUUGCUGACCCUCAGGGACGAAAGCGUGGGGAGCAAACAGG